UACAGAGGGUGCAAGCGUUAAUCGGAAUUACUGGGCGUAAAGCGUGCGUAGGCGGUCCAUUAAGUCGGAUGUGAAAUCCCUGGGCUUAACCUGGGAACUGCAGUCGAUACUGGUGGACUAGAGUACGGUAGAGGGUGGCGGAACUCCGGGUGUAGCGGUGAAAUGCGUAGAUAUCCGGAGGAACACCGGUGGCGAAGGCGGCAUCCUGGACCAAUUCUGACGCUGAGGAGCGAAAGCCAGGGGAGCAAACGGG
Molecule: ribosomal RNA, 253 nt
Filed under: uncultured bacterium
Lineage: Bacteria
Description: partial 16S ribosomal RNA
Rfam family: Bacterial small subunit ribosomal RNA
Source: RNAcentral